GGAGGGUAUAGCUCAGUGGUAGAGUGCGUGCUUAGCAUGCACAAGGUCCUGGGUUCAAUCCCCAGUACCUCCA
This 73-nucleotide transfer RNA is filed under the name Vicugna pacos (alpaca). RNAcentral describes it as "tRNA-Ala (AGC) (tRNA-Ala-AGC-230-1)". It matches the Rfam family "tRNA". From Rfam's summary of the family: Transfer RNA (tRNA) molecules are approximately 80 nucleotides in length. Their secondary structure includes four short double-helical elements and three loops (D, anti-codon, and T loops). Further hydrogen bonds mediate the characteristic L-shaped molecular structure. tRNAs have two regions of fundamental functional importance: the anti-codon, which is responsible for specific mRNA codon recognition, and the 3' end, to which the tRNAs corresponding amino acid is attached (by aminoacyl-tRNA synthetases). tRNAs cope with the degeneracy of the genetic code in two manners: having more than one tRNA (with a specific anti-codon) for a particular amino acid; and 'wobble' base-pairing, i.e. permitting non-standard base-pairing at the 3rd anti-codon position. The record is from RNAcentral. Lineage: Eukaryota; Metazoa; Chordata; Mammalia; Artiodactyla; Camelidae.